RNAcentral lists this ribosomal RNA (497 nucleotides) under uncultured bacterium. RNAcentral describes it as "partial 16S ribosomal RNA". It matches the Rfam family "Bacterial small subunit ribosomal RNA", at positions 28 to 507 of the family's 1533-position model. The record is from RNAcentral.
GAUGAACGCUGGCGGCGUGCCUAAUACAUGCAAGUCGAGCGAACAGACGCGGAGCUUGCUCCUCUGACGUUAGCGGCGGACGGGUGAGUAACACGUGGAUAACCUACCUAUAAGACUGGGAUAACUUCGGGAAACCGGAGCUAAUACCGGAUAAUAUAUUGAACCGCAUGGUUCAAUAGUGAAAGACGGUUUUGCUGUCACUUAUAGAUGGAUCCGCGCCGCAUUAGCUAGUUGGUAAGGUAACGGCUUACCAAGGCGACGAUGCGGAGCCGACCUGAGAGGGUGAUCGGCCACACUGGAACUGAGACACGGUCCAGACUCCUACGGGAGGCAGCAGUAGGGAAUCUUCCGCAAUGGGCGAAAGCCUGACGGAGCAACGCCGCGUGAGUGAUGAAGGUCUUCGGAUCGUAAAACUCUGUUAUUAGGGAAGAACAAAUGUGUAAGUAACUAUGCACGUCUUGACGGUACCUAAUCAGAAAGCCACGGCUAACUACGUG